GUGUACCAGGCGCGAAACCUCCGCAAUACACGAAAGUGUGACGGGCCAUCCCGAGUGCCGUCCGCUGAGGACGGCUUUUCCCCAGUGUACAUAGCUGGGGGAAUAAGGAGAGGGCAAGCCUGGUGUCAGCCGCCGCGGUAAUACCAGCUCUCCGAGUGGUGGGGACGCUUAUUGGGCCUAAAGCAUCCGUAGCCGGCUGGGCAAGUCCUCCGUUAAAUCCAACGAUUCAAUCGUUGGGCUGCGGGGGAUACUGUCCAGCUUGGGGGCGGGAGAGGCCGACGGUAUUCCCCGGGGUAGGGGUGAAAUCCUAUAAAUCCCGGGAGGACCACCAGUGGCGAAGGCUGUCGGCUAGAACGCGCCCGACGGUGAGGGAUGAAAGCUGGGGGAGCGAACCGGAUUAGAUACCCCGGUAGU
RNAcentral lists this ribosomal RNA (414 nucleotides) under uncultured microorganism. Its description in RNAcentral is "bacterial SSU rRNA". It matches the Rfam family "Archaeal small subunit ribosomal RNA", at positions 330 to 745 of the family's 1478-position model. The record is from RNAcentral.